GGAUUGUGGCUCAGUGGUAGAGCGCUCGCCUAGCACAUGUGAGGCCCUGGGAUAGAUCUUCAGCACCA
Molecule: transfer RNA, 68 nt
Filed under: Marmota monax (woodchuck)
Lineage: Eukaryota; Metazoa; Chordata; Mammalia; Rodentia; Sciuridae
Description: tRNA.Ala
Source: RNAcentral